AACGUAGGAGACAAACGUUAUCCGGAGUUACUGGGCGUAAAGGGCGUGUAGGUGGUUUUAUAAGUCUGGCGUGAAAUUUCUCGGCUUAACCGAGGCAGGUCGUCGGAUACUAUGAGACUAGAGGACGGUAGAGGCGUGUGGAAUUCCGGGUGUAGUGGUGAAAUGCGUAGAGAUCCGGAGGAACACCAGUGGCGAAGGCGACACGCUGGGCCGUACCUGACACUGAUGCGCGACAGCAUGGGGAGCAAACAGGA
RNAcentral lists this ribosomal RNA (254 nucleotides) under uncultured bacterium. RNAcentral's name for it is "partial 16S ribosomal RNA". It matches the Rfam family "Bacterial small subunit ribosomal RNA", at positions 524 to 777 of the family's 1533-position model. The record is from RNAcentral.